RNAcentral lists this ribosomal RNA (262 nucleotides) under uncultured archaeon. RNAcentral's name for it is "partial 16S ribosomal RNA". It matches the Rfam family "Archaeal small subunit ribosomal RNA", at positions 748 to 1008 of the family's 1478-position model. The record is from RNAcentral.
CAGCCGUAAACUAUGCGCGUUAGGUGUACUGGUGACCACGAGUCACCGGGGUGCCGAAGGGAAACCGUGAAACGUGCCGCCUGGGAAGUACGGUCGCAAGGCUGAAACUUAAAGGAAUUGGCGGGGGGAGCACCACAACAGGUGGAGCCUGCGGUUUAAUUGGACUCAACGCCGGGAAGCUCACCGGAUAGGACAGCAGAAUGAUUGCCGGGCUGAAGACCCUGCAUGACUAGCUGAGAGGAGGUGCAUGGCGUCAGUGACU